Molecule: ribosomal RNA, 200 nt
Filed under: uncultured bacterium
Lineage: Bacteria
Description: partial 16S ribosomal RNA
Rfam family: Bacterial small subunit ribosomal RNA
Source: RNAcentral
AUUGAACGCUGGCGGCAGGCCUAACACAUGCAAGUCGAGCGCGAAAGUUCUUCGGAAUGAGUAAAGCGGCGGACGGGUGAGUAGUACAUGGGAAUCUGCCUGGUAGUGGGGGACAACGUUUCGAAAGGAACGCUAAUACCGCAUACGCCCUACGGGGGAAAGGGGGGGAUCUUCGGACCUCUCGCUAUCAGAUGAGCCCA